UACGUAGGGGUCGAGCGUUGUCCGGAGUUACUGGGCGUAAAGCGUGCGCAGGCGGCUUGUUGCGCCCGGCGUGAAAGCCCCCGGCUCAACCGGGGAGGGUCGUCGGGGACGGGCAAGCUUGAGGGUAUCAGGGGCUGGUGGAAUUCCCGGUGUAGUGGUGAAAUGCGUAGAGAUCGGGAGGAACACCCGUGGCGAAGGCGGCCAGCUGGGAUACACCUGACGCUGAGCCACGAAGGCGUGGGGAGCGAACGGG
Molecule: ribosomal RNA, 253 nt
Filed under: uncultured bacterium
Lineage: Bacteria
Description: partial 16S ribosomal RNA
Rfam family: Bacterial small subunit ribosomal RNA
Source: RNAcentral